RNAcentral lists this ribosomal RNA (1508 nucleotides) under gut metagenome. RNAcentral describes it as "bacterial SSU rRNA". It matches the Rfam family "Bacterial small subunit ribosomal RNA". The record is from RNAcentral.
AGAGUUUGAUCCUGGCUCAGGAUGAACGCUAGCGACAGGCUUAACACAUGCAAGUCGAGGGCAGCGGGGAGGUAGCAAUACUUCCGCCGGCGACCGGCGCACGGGUGAGUAACACGUAUGGAACCUGCCCGUAGCAGGGGAUAAGCGGAAGAAAUUCCGUCUAAUACCGCGUAAUAACUCCGAGAGGCAUCUCUUGGGUUUAAAGGGUAACACCGGCUACGGAUGGCCAUGCGGCGCAUUAGCUAGUUGGCGGGGUAACGGCCACCAAGGCGACGAUGCGUAGGGGUUCUGAGAGGAAGGUCCCCACACUGGUACUGAGACACGGACCAGACUCCUACGGGAGGCAGCAGUGAGGAAUAUUGGUCAAUGGGCGCGAGCCUGAACCAGCCAAGUCGCGUGAGGGAAGACGGUCCUAUGGAUUGUAAACCUCUUUUGUCGGGGAGCAAAAGACGUCACGUGUGGCGUUCCGAGAGUACCCGAAGAAAAAGCAUCGGCUAACUCCGUGCCAGCAGCCGCGGUAAUACGGAGGAUGCGAGCGUUAUCCGGAUUUAUUGGGUUUAAAGGGUGCGCAGGCGGAAGAUCAAGUCAGCGGUAAAAUUGAGAGGCUCAACCUCUUCGAGCCGUUGAAACUGGUUUUCUUGAGUGAGCGAGAAGUAUGCGGAAUGCGUGGUGUAGCGGUGAAAUGCAUAGAUAUCACGCAGAACUCCGAUUGCGAAGGCAGCAUACCGGCGCUCAACUGACGCUCAUGCACGAAAGUGUGGGUAUCGAAACAGAUUAGAUACCCUGGUAGUCCACACAGUAAACGAUGAAUACUAAUUGUUCGGGGAGAAUGAUCCCUGAGUGAUACAGCGAAAGCGUUAAGUAUUCCACCUGGGGAGUACGCCGGCAACGGUGAAACUCAAAGGAAUUGACGGGGGCCCGCACAAGCGGAGGAACAUGUGGUUUAAUUCGAUGAUACGCGAGGAACCUUACCCGGGCUCAAACGACACAGGAAUACUUUUGAAAGGAGGUAGCUCUACGGAGUCUGUGUCGAGGUGCUGCAUGGUUGUCGUCAGCUCGUGCCGUGAGGUGUCGGCUUAAGUGCCAUAACGAGCGCAACCCCCAUCGCCAGUUACCAGCAAGUCAAGUUGGGGACUCUGGCGAGACUGCCGGCGCAAGCUGUGAGGAAGGCGGGGAUGACGUCAAAUCAGCACGGCCCUUACGUCCGGGGCGACACACGUGUUACAAUGGCAGGUACAGAGAGAAGCAAUGCGGUGACGCAAAGCGGAACUUGAAAGCCUGUCUCAGUUCGGAUUGGAGUCUGCAACUCGACUCCAUGAAGCUGGAUUCGCUAGUAAUCGCGCAUCAGCCAUGGCGCGGUGAAUACGUUCCCGGGCCUUGUACACACCGCCCGUCAAGCCAUGGAAGCCGGGAGUGCCUGAAGUGUGCAACCGCAAGGAGCGCCCUAAGGUAAAACUGGUGACUGGGGCUAAGUCGUAACAAGGUAGCCGUACCGGAAGGUGCGGCUG